GCCUGGGUGGCUCAGUUGGUUGAGUGCCCGACUUCAGCUCAGGUCAGGAUCUCGCGGUCCGCGAGUUCGAGCCCCGCAUCGGGCU
Molecule: transfer RNA, 85 nt
Filed under: Felis catus (domestic cat)
Lineage: Eukaryota; Metazoa; Chordata; Mammalia; Carnivora; Felidae
Rfam family: tRNA
About the family: Transfer RNA (tRNA) molecules are approximately 80 nucleotides in length. Their secondary structure includes four short double-helical elements and three loops (D, anti-codon, and T loops). Further hydrogen bonds mediate the characteristic L-shaped molecular structure. tRNAs have two regions of fundamental functional importance: the anti-codon, which is responsible for specific mRNA codon recognition, and the 3' end, to which the tRNAs corresponding amino acid is attached (by aminoacyl-tRNA synthetases). tRNAs cope with the degeneracy of the genetic code in two manners: having more than one tRNA (with a specific anti-codon) for a particular amino acid; and 'wobble' base-pairing, i.e. permitting non-standard base-pairing at the 3rd anti-codon position.
Source: Rfam by way of RNAcentral